UACGUAGGGUGCAAGCGUUAAUCGGAAUUACUGGGCGUAAAGCGUGCGCAGGCGGCUUUGCAAGACAGAUGUGAAAUCCCCGGGCUUAACCUGGGAAUUGCGCUUGUGACUGGCGUGCUGGAGUGUGGCAGAGGGAGGUGGAAUUCCACGUGUAGCAGUGAAAUGCGUAGAGAUGUGGAGGAACACCGAUGGCGAAGGCAGCCUCCUGGGCAAGCACUGACGCUCAUGCACGAAAGCGUGGGGAGCAAACAGG
This 253-nucleotide ribosomal RNA is filed under the name uncultured bacterium. Its description in RNAcentral is "partial 16S ribosomal RNA". It matches the Rfam family "Bacterial small subunit ribosomal RNA", at positions 524 to 776 of the family's 1533-position model. The record is from RNAcentral.